RNAcentral lists this ribosomal RNA (482 nucleotides) under uncultured bacterium. RNAcentral's name for it is "partial 16S ribosomal RNA". It matches the Rfam family "Bacterial small subunit ribosomal RNA", at positions 30 to 507 of the family's 1533-position model. The record is from RNAcentral.
AUUGAACGCUGGCGGCAUGCCUUACACAUGCAAGUCGAACGGUAACAGGUCUUCGGAUGCUGACGAGUGGCGAACGGGUGAGUAAUACAUCGGAACGUGCCCAGACGUGGGGGAUAACGAGGCGAAAGCUUUGCUAAUACCGCAUACGAUCUAAGGAUGAAAGCAGGGGACCGCAAGGCCUUGCGCGUUUGGAGCGGCCGAUGGCCGAUUAGGUAGUUGGUGGGAUAAAAGCUUACCAAGCCGACGAUCUGUAGCUGGUCUGAGAGGACGACCAGCCACACUGGGACGGAAACACGGCCAAGACUCCUAAGGGAGGCAGCAGUGGGGAAUUUUGGACAAUGGGCGAAAGCCUGAUCCAGCAAUGCCGCGUGCAGGAUGAAGGCCUUCGGGUUGUAAACUGCUUUUGUACGGAACGAAAAGGCUCUGGCUAAUACCUGGGGCACAUGACGGUACCGUAAGAAUAAGCACCGGCUAACUACGUG